This 1359-nucleotide ribosomal RNA is filed under the name metagenome. Its description in RNAcentral is "bacterial LSU rRNA". It matches the Rfam family "Bacterial large subunit ribosomal RNA", at positions 1545 to 2890 of the family's 2925-position model. The record is from RNAcentral.
GGGCGCGGAAUUCAAGGGUGUGAGGCGAGCGGCUUAGGCCGCGAAGCAAUCGGAAGUGGUUCCAAGAAAAGCCUCUAAGCUUCAGUCUAACAAGACCGUACCGCAAACCGACACAGGUGGGCGAGAUGAGUAUUCUAAGGCGCUUGAGAGAACUCGGGAGAAGGAACUCGGCAAAUUGGUACCGUAACUUCGGGAUAAGGUACGCCCUUGUAGCUUGACUGGCCUGCGCCAGGAGGGUGAGAGGGUUGCAAUAAACUGGUGGCUGCGACUGUUUAAUAAAAACACAGCACUCUGCAAACACGAAAGUGGACGUAUAGGGUGUGACGCCUGCCCGGUGCCGGAAGAUUAAAUGAUGGGGUGCAAGCUCUUGAUUGAAGUCCCGGUAAACGGCGGCCGUAACUAUAACGGUCCUAAGGUAGCGAAAUUCCUUGUCGGGUAAGUUCCGACCUGCACGAAUGGCGUAACGAUGGCCACACUGUCUCCUCCCGAGACUCAGCGAAGUUGAAGUGUUUGUGAUGAUGCAAUCUCCCCGCGGCUAGACGGAAAGACCCCAUGAACCUUUACUGUAGCUUUGCAUUGGACUUUGAACCGAUCUGUGUAGGAUAGGUGGGAGGCUAUGAAACCGGAACGCUAGUUUCGGUGGAGCCGUCCUUGAAAUACCACCCUGGUUUGUUUGAGGUUCUAACCUUGGUCCGUUAUCCGGACUGGGGACAGUGCAUGGUAGGCAGUUUGACUGGGGCGGUCUCCUCCCAAAGUGUAACGGAGGAGUACGAAGGUACGCUAGGUACGGUCGGAAAUCGUGCUGAUAGUGCAAUGGCAUAAGCGUGCUUAACUGCGAGACCGACAAGUCGAGCAGGUGCGAAAGCAGGUCAUAGUGAUCCGGUGGUUCUGUAUGGAAGGGCCAUCGCUCAACGGAUAAAAGGUACUCUGGGGAUAACAGGCUGAUACCGCCCAAGAGUUCAUAUCGACGGCGGUGUUUGGCACCUCGAUGUCGGCUCAUCUCAUCCUGGGGCUGUAGCCGGUCCCAAGGGUAUGGCUGUUCGCCAUUUAAAGAGGUACGUGAGCUGGGUUUAAAACGUCGUGAGACAGUUUGGUCCCUAUCUGCCGUGGGCGUUGGAUAUUUGAAGGGGGCUGCUCCUAGUACGAGAGGACCGGAGUGGACGAACCUCUGGUGUACCGGUUGUCACGCCAGUGGCAUCGCCGGGUAGCUAUGUUCGGAAGGGAUAACCGCUGAAAGCAUCUAAGCGGGAAACUCGCCUUAAGAUGAGAUAUCCCCGGGGACUUGAUCCCCUUGAAGGGUCGUUCUAGACCAGGACGUUGAUAGGUCAGGUGUGGAAGUGAAAAAAAAGAAAAAAAAAG